RNAcentral lists this transfer RNA (71 nucleotides) under Loxodonta africana (African savanna elephant). It matches the Rfam family "tRNA". Rfam says of the family: Transfer RNA (tRNA) molecules are approximately 80 nucleotides in length. The record is from Rfam by way of RNAcentral. Lineage: Eukaryota; Metazoa; Chordata; Mammalia; Proboscidea; Elephantidae.
ACAGUGAUGGUUCAGUGGUAGAAUUCUCACCUUCCAUGUAUGACACCUGGGUUCGAUUCCGAGCCGAUGUA